Long non-coding RNA from Gadus macrocephalus (Pacific cod), 1061 nucleotides. RefSeq lists it as uncharacterized. The transcript is spliced from 3 exons. The record is from RefSeq and is a predicted model, not a curated record. Lineage: Eukaryota; Metazoa; Chordata; Actinopteri; Gadiformes; Gadidae.
AGAGAGAGAGAGACACCCGGGGACAGGGUGUGGGUGUACUGCCGCGUUUUCCUGUUUACGGAAACCACACGUUUCCCUUUCACUAGCGAGACUGAAUACAGUAACCCUCCACUGCAACCAGGUCUGGUCAUUGCAACGCCCUAACCCAUUCUCCACGGUGAUUUGAUAAGUCCUAUCGCUCUCCAGACUGACUGACUGACUGACUGACUCCUAGCCCCCCCCUCCCCCACCCCAAGACAGACCCAGAGAAGAUCUGCAGGGUUAAGGACUGGGAGAGGCCCACGAAUCGGAAGGAAGUGCUGCAGUUCUUGGGGUUCGCUGGAUAUUGCAGGCGGUACGUUGAAGGCUACUCAAGCAUAGCUGCUCCUUUAUACCGCCUCACAUCCGGUGAUCCCAGAAAGAAAAUAAGGGGAAAGAAGAGAUUGGGUCCCGAACCACCCUUUUUUGCCAUUCGUCAGAAACCAACUUGGGCGGGUUGAAACUGGCUUUGAAUGCAGAUGUUUUUAUCUGUCAUUACCUGUUUUACCAAAGACAGGACACACAGGUCAAAGACAGGACACACAGGUCAAAGACAGGACACACAUUGACUUCAGGCUGGAGUCGUUAUGUCCAGCAAAGUAAAUUAUUUCUGAUAAAGCAGUUAUGGGGUUAAUCUGCUGCAUCCAAGAUGAUAAAAUCUCCAACAAAGUAAAUAAUGGAGUGAGAGAAUGAGGGGCCACUGACUGGGUAUCCAAGUGGAGGUUGCUGUCGACUUUCUCAGGGAAACGACUUUGACAUCUCUACCAUGGCCGUGGACAGUGGUAAGACCGUAACCGUAGUGCUGGCAGCACUGGGCCGGCCCUUCCGUCUGGGGAUGCUCUACGACUGUCGCAAUGACUCACUGAUCCCCGGUAAAUAAAUACAAGUCCCGAGACAAUAUCCCUUAUUUGUGUUAUUUUAAGGAGAAUCUUUGGGGGUUUUGCGUGAAAUCGAUGGAUCUGGCCAAAUGUCAUUAUGAAUGUCAUUAUCAGUUGGGCGCUGCAUGCAGCGCUCAACUAUUGUUGUUCUUAAGGUUACCAUGA